This 496-nucleotide ribosomal RNA is filed under the name uncultured bacterium. RNAcentral describes it as "partial 16S ribosomal RNA". It matches the Rfam family "Bacterial small subunit ribosomal RNA", at positions 29 to 507 of the family's 1533-position model. The record is from RNAcentral.
AUGAACGCUGGCGGCGUGCCUAAUCCAUGCAAGUCGCGCGAACAGACGAGGAGCUUGCUCCUCUGACGUUAGCGGCGGACGGGUGAGUAACACGUGGAUAACCUACCUAUAAGCCUGGGAUAACUUCGGGAAACCGGAGCUAAUACCGGAUAAUAUAUCGAACCGCAUGGUUCAAUAGUGAAAGACGGUUUUGCUGUCACUUAUAGAUGGAUCCGCGCCGCAUUAGCUAGUUGGUAAGGUAACGGCUUACCAAGGCGACGAUGCGUAGCCGACCUGAGAGGGUGAUCGGCCACACUGGAACUGAGACACGGUCCAGACUCCUACGGGAGGCAGCAGUAGGGAAUCUUCCGCAAUGGGCGAAAGCCUGACGGAGCAACGCCGCGUGAGUGAUGAAGGUCUUCGGAUCGUAAAACUCUGUUAUUAGGGAAGAACAAAUGUGUAAGUAACUAUGCACGUCUUGACGGUACCUAAUCAGAAAGCCACGGCUAACUACGUG